Molecule: long non-coding RNA, 2244 nt
Organism: Quercus lobata
Lineage: Eukaryota; Viridiplantae; Streptophyta; Magnoliopsida; Fagales; Fagaceae
Exons: 3
Source: RefSeq, a predicted model, not a curated record
UCAAUGGCCUUUCAUAUCCCAAAUCAUUUCACUCACACAAUCGUUCUCCUUCCUCUAGAAUUCAAGGAUUCACCCAAUUAGUUCUCCUAUACACAAAUCUACAAGAAACUGCUAUAGAAGGAAGACAACCAGAGUUUCAGCCAUCUCAGAAAACUUGGUCCAAGGGAAUCGCUGCAGCAUCAAAAAGAGUCUGACAGAAGAUGACAGCUGAAAAUGUUAGAAGAUGACACAAGGAUCACAAGCAGAACAGGAGCAUGCAUAAUGAUCCCACCAACAAAACUUAGACAGUAAUUAGGAUGGGUAUCAAGGAGUGCAGGGAGAAUAGGAAGCAUAGUUUCAGAACUGAGAUCUAGUACAGGGAGAGUGGGAGACUAUCAGAUGUACAUUACAGACGUGCAUAUCACACACACACCAUUGGUAAUAUGACAUACACUAAAUGAACUGGAUAAUAAUUGCACAAUACUGUAUAAAAUAUUUUGUAUAAAGCAAGAAAAGUUUAAGAUAGAGAGGGAAAGCAUUGUGAUAUCUCCAACACAAAGAAAGUAGACGAUCAUUCAACAUAAAACUUGCAGAAGCCAACUCUCAUAAGUCAUAGCAUGAACCUCUGAGUGAAUGGUCAAUGAAGAACUAAAAUACGAAAGGAUCAUUAAAAAAGCAGCUCAGCAUCAAGUCAUGUCAACCAUGGAUUUUUUAAUAUCAUAGGUGACUUGCAAACCUUCUCUCUCUCUCUCUCUCUCUCCUGAUAUCUCUUUUAUUUAUUUAUUAGUGUUUGCUCUAAUGGAAACAUUAAGCUACAUAACAAACAUAACCUCCAGAAAAAUAUGAACCAAAUCCCACCCAUGAGAUCAAAAGGUCAUUUUCAAAAGCUACAUAGAGAUGUAGAUAUGUAUAUAUGUAUGUAGUAAACCUUAUAUCAAUUUUGAUAUGAAGGAGAACUUCAUUUUUGUUUGCAAUAAGUUUCUCUUUUUUUUUUCGUGUGUGGAUUGGGGGGUGGGGUAUUCUCCUUGAUUGGAUUGGUGAUAUAGAACUUGAGAAUCCACCACACACACACACACACACAUAUAUAUAAUUCAAUAGUUACAAUGGGGGAGGGGGGAGGGGGGAUUGAAACCAUGAAUGUCUCCGUUGGAAACACUAAAAGGUGCCAACCUGUUGAGCUGCAAAGCUACUGGCUGCUAGCAAGAACCCACCAAAUAUAUGGAGAACAAAUACAAUAAUAACUAGAUGCGAAUAUGACUUUUAUUACCCAUGAUCCAAUUAAUGACCAUUUUAGCUAUCAUAAAAGAAAGGAGGAAAAAGGUGAGGGGCAACAAAUACUAAAAUCAUAAACCUAGUCUUAAAUCUCACAAAACUAGACUAAAAUAUAUGACUUCACAAAGUCCAUAUGCAGUAUGUUUAUAUCUUAUAUCUCUCAAAAAAGUAGAAAAUUGUACAAGCACCUAACUCCAAUGAGGAUUCAACUAUAUGAUACCAGUUAGCAAAAAAAUAGAUGACAAAAACCAACCAAUGAAAUCUAGCUCAAUUAGCAUCUCCUCCCCCCAGGGAUAGAGUGGAAGGCUCAAGCCCCACCAAAUAGCUAACUUGCUGAUAAAAAAGGAAAUACAUGACCAAAAAAUGAUAAAGAACAAUUUGGAAACAUCAAGCUUCACUCCAUUUGUUUCAACAGAAAAUAGUUUUCUCCUAUCUUUGGUUGCAUCCCUCCAAUGAUCCCAAAAAACAUAUUCCACUAUUUUGCACAAUGAGGUCAAAGGGUGCAAUGUUGGAGCCGAAUUGAGGAUAAACCUAUGUCCUAGACUAAGGAAUGUGAUGGUUCAAAAUGAUCAAAUGCUCGGUGUUGUUCAACAACAUUAGGGAGAAAGGUGUGUGUGCACACACACAUACAGAGGGGGGGAGAGAGAUUCUUUUUCUUUAUUUUUUUUCUAUCAAGAAUGGAAGCCAUGUAACAUGAAGAUUUUUUAAGCAUUUAAGCCGUUUUUGGAUUAUUUUCCAUUGAUUUUAGAUAAGGUUUUCCAUUGACCAAGAUCUUCAAUUGUACCAAACGUCAAAAAGUGUUUUAUACCAAAACAAUUUGAAGAGUUAAUGAGCUAACAAGAGAAGGAUUGUGAUUCAAGUAGCAAUUUUGACACUACAAUGUUUAAUGAAAGGAGUGUAGACAUUGUGCACUCAUAAAUGAGGAGUGAGUUGUUAAAUACAUGGAUUCAUGUAGCAUUUGAUAUUUCUCUUUAUUGGUGUCACAUUAUACAA